This 440-nucleotide ribosomal RNA is filed under the name uncultured bacterium. RNAcentral describes it as "partial 16S ribosomal RNA". It matches the Rfam family "Bacterial small subunit ribosomal RNA", at positions 338 to 795 of the family's 1533-position model. The record is from RNAcentral.
CCUACGGGCGGCAGCAGUAGGGAAUAUUGCUCAAUGGGGGAAACCCUGAAGCAGCAACGCCGCGUGGAGGAUGAAGGUUUUCGGAUCGUAAACUCCUUUUGUUAGAGAAGAUAAUGACGGUAUCUAACGAAUAAGCACCUGCUAACUCCGUGCCAGCAGCCGCGGUAAUACGGGGGGUGCAAGCGUUACUCGGAAGCACUGGUCGUAAAGAGCGCGUAGGCGGGAGAGCAAGUCAGAUGUGAAAUCCUAUGGCUUAACCAUAGAACUGCAUUUGAAACUGGUAUUCUAGAGUAUGGGAGAGGUAGGUGGAAUUCUUGGUGUAGGGGUAAAAUCCGUAGAGAUCAAGAGGAAUACUCAUUGCGAAGGCGACCUGCUAGAACAUAACUGACGCUGAUGCGCGAAAGCGUGGGGAGCAAACAGGAUUAGAUACCCCUGUAGUC